This 253-nucleotide ribosomal RNA is filed under the name uncultured bacterium. RNAcentral's name for it is "partial 16S ribosomal RNA". It matches the Rfam family "Bacterial small subunit ribosomal RNA", at positions 524 to 776 of the family's 1533-position model. The record is from RNAcentral.
UAAAGAGGUCUCAAGCGUUGUUCGGAUUCAUUGGGCGUAAAGGGUGCGUAGGCGGCGCGGUAAGUCGGGUGUGAAAUCUCGGAGCUUAACUUCGAAACUGCAUUCGAUACUGCCGUGCUUGAGGACUGGAGAGGAGACUGGAAUUUACGGUGUAGCGGUGAAAUGCGUAGAUAUCGUAAGGAAGACCAGUGGCGAAGGCGGGUCUCUGGACAGUUCCUGACGCUGAGGCACGAAGGCCAGGGGAGCAAACGGG